RNAcentral lists this ribosomal RNA (598 nucleotides) under Geastrum taylorii. RNAcentral's name for it is "partial 25S ribosomal RNA". It matches the Rfam family "Eukaryotic large subunit ribosomal RNA", at positions 63 to 643 of the family's 3401-position model. Lineage: Eukaryota; Fungi; Basidiomycota; Agaricomycetes; Geastrales; Geastraceae. The record is from RNAcentral.
AACUAACAAGGAUUCCCCUAGUAACGGCGAGUGAAGAGGGAAAAGCUCAAAUUUGAAAUCUGGCGGCCUACGGUCGUCCGAGUUGUAAUCUAGAGAAGUGUUUUCCGUGCUGGACCGUGUACAAGUCCUUUGGAACAAGGCGUCAUAGAGGGUGAGAAUCCCGUCUACGACACGGACUACCAGUGCUCUGUGAUACACUCUCAACGAGUCGAGUUGUUUGGGAAUGCAGCUCAAAAUGGGUGGUAAAUUCCAUCUAAAGCUAAAUACAGGCGAAAGACCGAUAGCGAACAAGUACCGUGAGGGAAAGAUGAAAAGCACUUUGGAAAGAGAGUUAAACAGUACGUGAAAUUGUUGAAAGGGAAACGCUUGAAGUCAGUCGCGUCUUCAGAAAUUCAGUCUGGCUUCUGCCGGAUGUACUUUUCUGUUGGACGGGCCAGCAUCAGUUUUGGUCGCCAGAGAAAGGUGAGAGGAAGGUGGCACCUCCGGGUGUGUUAUAGCCUCUCAUCGUAUGUGGCGGCUGGGACUGAGGACCGCAGCACGCCUUCAUGGCCGGGGUUCGCCACGUAACGUGCUUAGGAUGCUGGCGUAAUGGCUUUAA